GAUCAUGGCUCAAGACGAACGCUGGCGGCGUGCUUAACACAUGCAAGUCGAACGGAGCACCCUUGACUGAGGUUUCGGCCAAAUGAUAGGAAUGCUUAGUGGCGGACUGGUGAGUAACGCGUGAGGAACCUGCCUUUCAGAGGGGGACGAACAGUUGGAAACGGAACUGCUAAUACCGCCAUGAUGCGUAACUGGGACGAUCCCGGACUACGCCAAAGAAUUUAUUCGCUGAAAGAAUGGCCUCGCG
RNAcentral lists this ribosomal RNA (247 nucleotides) under uncultured bacterium. RNAcentral's name for it is "partial 16S ribosomal RNA". It matches the Rfam family "Bacterial small subunit ribosomal RNA", at positions 15 to 235 of the family's 1533-position model. The record is from RNAcentral.